This 200-nucleotide ribosomal RNA is filed under the name uncultured bacterium. Its description in RNAcentral is "partial 16S ribosomal RNA". It matches the Rfam family "Bacterial small subunit ribosomal RNA", at positions 8 to 213 of the family's 1533-position model. The record is from RNAcentral.
AGAGUUUGAUCCUGGCUCAGAACAAACGCUGGCGGCGUGCCUAAUACAUGCAAGUCGAACGCAGUAGCAAUACUGAGUGGCGCACGGGUGAGUAACACGUGGAUAAUCUCCCUUUGAGUGGGGAAUAACCUUUCGAAAGAAGGGCUAAUACCGCAUAAGACCACAGGAACUUCGGUUCAAGGGGUCAAAGGGGGCGUAAG